UACGUAGGUGGCAAGCGUUGUCCGGAAUUACUGGGUGUAAAGGGAGCGUAGGCGGGAAUGCAAGUUGAAUGUGAAAUUUACGGGCUCAACUCGUGAACUGCGUUCAAAACUGUAUUUCUUGAGUUAAGUAGAGGCAGGCGGAAUUCCCUGUGUAGCGGUGAAAUGCGCAGAUAUAGGGAGGAACACCAGUGGCGAAGGCGGCCUGCUGGGCUUGUACUGACGCUGAGGCUCGAAAGCGUGGGUAGCAAACAGG
This 253-nucleotide ribosomal RNA is filed under the name uncultured bacterium. RNAcentral describes it as "partial 16S ribosomal RNA". It matches the Rfam family "Bacterial small subunit ribosomal RNA", at positions 524 to 776 of the family's 1533-position model. The record is from RNAcentral.